UACGUAGGGUGCGAGCGUUGUCCGGAAUUAUUGGGCGUAAAGAGCUCGUAGGCGGCCUGUCGCGUCGGAUGUGAAAGCCCGGGGCUUAACCCCGGGUCUGCAUUCGAUACGGGCAGGCUAGAGUGCGGUAGGGGAGAUCGGAAUUCCUGGUGUAGCGGUGAAAUGCGCAGAUAUCAGGAGGAACACCGGUGGCGAAGGCGGAUCUCUGGGCCAUUACUGACGCUGAGGAGCGAAAGCGUGGGGAGCGAAC
Molecule: ribosomal RNA, 250 nt
Filed under: uncultured bacterium
Lineage: Bacteria
Description: partial 16S ribosomal RNA
Rfam family: Bacterial small subunit ribosomal RNA
Source: RNAcentral